Molecule: long non-coding RNA, 6874 nt
Organism: Hemibagrus wyckioides
Lineage: Eukaryota; Metazoa; Chordata; Actinopteri; Siluriformes; Bagridae
Exons: 3
Source: RefSeq, a predicted model, not a curated record
ACUGUUUUUUUUAUAGAAACGAAGUAAAAUCCUAACUUCUAAUUUUUAGAGCUUUACCCAAAUUUUACUUUCAUUGAACAAAGACAAUUAAAAAAAAUACCCGAUGACCCUACAGCUAAUGACGUCAGAGUCAGAGAAUAAGUACCCCGGCGAGCUUUUGUGGCGACCUUUCUCACCGCCGCUGGCCGGCCCGAGCGCGCCUGGAGAUGCAUUGCCUCCCGGGAACUCCUGCUGAAACGAAUUUUCUCCUGAGAUGAGAUUGGGAAAGGGAACUGCGAGAAAGUGCAAGAACUAAAGUUUCAACAGCUAUUAUUUCCACGCAUAUGUUUAGUAGAUUAUAUAAAGACAAACGCCAUCGAAAGGUAAAAACACAAACUGUCAGUAAACUACCCAGAGGGCAUAAUAAUAAUAAUAAUAAUAAUAAUAAUAAUAAUAAUAAUAAUAAUAAUAAUAAUAAUAAUAAUAAUGACGUCACAGUCUAUUAGAUUUACACUACGUUAUUUGUUAUUCAUUUAUCUCAGUAUUGUGUAGUAUAUAUAAUGAACUAAUAAUUAAUUAAUUCUCUUCGGGGGUUUUUCUGGUUUCUUGUGGACUCAACAAAACGUUAAUGUUACUAGAUUCGUUUUCUACAAUAGCAUUUUUUUAGGAGAUCUCGGUCUGGCUGAUAUAACUAAAUCAGGUGUGCUAAAUUCAAUUUAACGUUAAUGUUAUUAAUGAUAUGUUAAUAAGACAUAAGACAUUUUUAUAGGACAAUAAGAAAUUAUUUCAAUAUUAUCCAUUGGCCAAAGUAAUGGCAAAUGGACUUGUUAUACAUGCAUUUUAUUUAUUGAUAAUUUAAAAAUAAUAAUCCGUAAUAACAGCCAAUCACUGUGUUUGCGUUUUCUGACAUAGAAAAAAUACUGCAUUUGAAUUAUUGACAAUUAAUUUAGUAAAAGAUUUCUAAAGUAGCUACAGAUUGCUCUAUGGGCGAACAAGUGCUAUGAAAUCGCUGCCUAAUAAACGCGGAAUUAGGCGAAUUUUUCCAAUAAAGACCGAAAUAUUAGUGAGUUAAUACCGUAUACCACAUAAUGUGAAUCUUAGUAUUCAGGACAGGGUUAGGUGAGCUAUAAUGAAUCUCUAAUCCACCGUUUCUCUGAUGCAGUAUAUUAUGAUUGAUGUCCCAAUAUCUAUUUUGUUGGGUUUUUUUUGGAUUUUGUUAUUUUUAAGACGAGUUUGGUUGAUUACAAAUUCAGUAAGGUGAAAUAUGUAAAAGGAUGUGUAAUUUGGGGGAAGGGGUUUUUUUAGGAAGAGGGGAGAAGUGCUGCAUAGUCUAGACUAUGGGUAAGUUAAAUGUCCGUAUAAUAAAGUAAUAAAAAUGUUUACUGCUGGAAUGUCCAGCAAUAUAUUUUUUAUGUUUUACCAAUUGUUUCAUUGUAUACAAUAAUUAUAUACUUCUCUGUAUUACCCUGGGGCGACAUUAUACAGGUCACUAGGCAUAUGUAAUGUAUGCAGUGAUGUUCAUAGGUUUAAUUUGACUAAACAAUCAGUUUAAUUUGAGUUUGUGAAUCCAUCAUAUCAUCGCUUCUCUGCAUAUUUUAUUAUUAAAGGAAAGUGCAUUAUGUUUACUUUUGUAUUUUAAGAUGAACCAUCAUUGUCCUUUUGUAAUGGUCAUUGUUUUACAACAACAACAACAACAACAACAACAACAAUAAUAAUAAUAAUAAUAAUAAUAAUAAUAAUAAUAAUAAUAAUAAUAAUAAUAAUAAUAAUAAUAAUGAAUAUUAAAAGUUGUGUGUUUUUCAUACCUGCAUGGUGUUGACCUGAGGUGGCAAAAAUAAAAAAAUAUCGGUUAUGGCAAAUUGAAACAAACAAACCUGAUGUCCAAAAAAAAACCCUGACGCAUAGGGUAUGCAGACUGAGACAUUUGUAUUAGACAUGAAGUACUCCAUUUCAGUUUAAUUGUUAAGCAUUUAGAUUUGUUUUAAAUCAAGAUUUUUUUUAACGGCGCAACGACAGAGACAGAGACAGUCGCAGGGAUAUGAACUGCUUUGUGUUGGGCUGUUUAAGCCGCAUAGAUUCAGUUUCUUUGAGGGUUUCUGAGAGCCAGAACGUCUGAGAAAGUAAACUUUGAGUGACCCGCCAGGUUAGUUUAGUCUGGGAUUUUAGCAUGGCGGCCUGCGUGGAUGUGAAAGGCGCGAUGCUGUGGGAUCAGGAAGCCGCUUCAAAGGGGGGGAGAGCGCCUGCGUUAGGAAUUGUGUUCUCGCACCGAGGGCCAGCAUUCUUGACCCUUAAAGACUGGUUAAACAUUAUUGAACGCUUCCCCUUUGUCGUCGGAGCAUCGCGCCGCCACCCGAGAUUUAGCAGUGCUCAGUCCGUGCUGAAGGAAGCUGUAGUGAGAGACAACACAUGGUCCAGGUAAUGGGCGGGGCCUACAUAUGAUUGACAGUCGCCCAUUCUUUGACGCUGAUUGAGAUGUCGAAGAGUUUGACUGCUGAUCACUUCUAAUAUGGAAGAGAAGACUAAAGGUCACCAGAGUUCAAAGACUGCUUUGCUAAAGCUUGAAGGGGCUUGAUGUUCCGCCAUUGUGUUUAAAAAAGCAAAUAGUUCACAAAGUGUAAACAAGUUUUACUUGAUAUUGAUUGCUAAAAUGUGAAACUAGAGCGGGUUCUUUAUCUUAUUGUGUUAGUUGGCUUGUAGCUAUCUAUGCCUUAGCAUUAAGCUAUAAAUAGAAGAGGCGUGAGAUGCAUUUUGCAGCAGUUUUAUUAUCAAACUCUCUCAAUUAAACUUGUUUGGCUUUGCCAAAAGUAGUCUAAAUGAUUGUUUUUAUACCACAAUGCUUUUUAACCUAAAUUGUGAUCAGUUCCUUGCUAUUAAUUACACAUCAGUCAAGGCAAUCAUUAAAAUCUGUUUACUGAAAAUGGCUGGAUUCUGUUUUCAUUCAGUCAUGAUGUUCCUAUAUGUUCAGUCAAUACUCUGUGAUAUGGGAUUUAACAUAAUUAAAGUAUUUGAACAAAUUUAUGUUUAAUUCUGCUUUAAUGGUUUUUAACACAUCAUUAAAAAGUAGAUGUGACUUUUAAAUAUCAAACUUAUUAUUAGAGGUGUGGAAAUCUCUGGUCUCUAUUCACUUUGCUCAAAACGCAUCCUCCCUCCCUCCUUCCUUCCCACUGCGAAUAAAAAGACAAGUUGGAUCAAGUUGAAAGUAACAUCAUCACUCUAUCCCAUUAUCAGUACUUCCAACCAACCCAUUAAGGCUAGUGUCUGUACAAAGCCCACGUCUGUGCACAUUAGUGAAACACUCAGUGAUUGAAACAGUAAUAUCACAUAGGGACUGCACAAUCGGCAAUAGUGCCUCAGGUUAAAGGAGUUACCUGUCAUUUCUGCACCAGUAAACAUCAGUGAAACUUCAUCUUGACAUGCCGUGUGGCUUGCAUGCCAACGCCUUUCACUCUGCACGCAGACAUGAUACUUGGACACAUACUUCGGACUCCCUGUGAACCAGCACGCAGGACUAGCCAAGCAACAGCAGGACAAAUGAGUUAAAGCUUAGCUUGUCAUUAUUUCCAGGAUAUUUGAUCAAGCAAAACUCAUAAUGCAUGCCAAAAACCUCAAUAACCAUUUUGCAGUAAAGAGGAAAUGUUUAUUUACAAUGGUCCUCAAGCUUUUUAAUCCCAAAAAGCAUCAUUUGAGUCUAGUAUCUGGACCACUUUUCAGCUCCUGACUGGAGAGCUUUGGUCUUAAAUAGAGAGAGAGUAUGGUCUAAUAUGUUCACAUCACAUUCAUAGACCAUUUACAACUGUAAAUAUAAUGCAAUUUUUAAGUUUGUCUUGCUCACCAAAUAUAAAAUAAGUGUUGAGAAAAGUACCCCAGGUUUGAGUCAUGCAAGUGGUUAAAGGAAUUUUGGUUAAUGGAGUGUAGGAAAAACUGAGACUUGGGGUAAGUCAUGUAAAAUGCAAGAUAGAAGCCUGAUUCAGUAAACAAAUACUGAUAUUCUUUGCAUAAGAACUAAGAGUGGAGUUGAGGCAGCUUUGGUAUGAGAGAAAGAAAGGUUUCAAAAUGUCUUCUAAAUAAAGAUACUGUAAAAUGGUCAUGGGGGGGGGCGCUAAUCUAACUAAAAAGUAUUUAGGUUAUUUUAUAAUAAUUAUUACUUAAUUAUUCAUCUCAGCUGCUCUACACUAAUUAAUAAAACAUUUUGCCACUAGACUUGUGUUAUAUUCCUCUGUGAAUACAUUCUCAUAAGUCAUGCAAAAGUACUGUCACCCUUGAUGAAGAUGAACAAAAGGUCUUUAAAAUACAGUGCACUGACACUAAAUUCGGUUUUUAAUAAUAAUAAAAAAUAAUCUCUGAGAGAAAUGUUCUACUUAAAAAUGAAAAUAAGGAAAUGAAUUUUUUUUUUUUUUUAAAUGGGAUUUGGAAUAAAAUUUAAAUGUAUUUCAAGAUAAAUAAAAAAAAAAGAAGCUUUGUAGCAGUUCCUGAGGUUCAGGUUUCUGUGUGAAUGUGUUUGAUCCCAAAUAUUUUUUUAUCCUGCAGAAAUAUAUAAAUAAUAAUUUGUUGAACUGCUGGUUAAAUUACCAAGCAAGAGCCCAGGAGCAUGUUGCCUUACCUGUAGAGGAAUCUAAUUUGAACAAUACACAGAAAGACUUGGAAAAUGUAUAUCUGGUCACAUAUUAAAUAUCAACAGAGCUACAUGGUCACAUCCACUUCAACAGACCGUUAGGAAGAGUUGCCUGAAGAAAGCCUUUAUUGACAGUUACAAAUAAACUAAAGUACCUUGAUUGCCUAAAUGCCACUGGGACUUUGGCUGAAAGGUUGUAAAAUAACAUCAAAACGUAACGGCAUUAAAAAAAAAAAUAUCACACUGGUACACAAAACAAUUGAUUUACAUUAAAUACAUUUCAAUAUACGUAUUUUCCUCAUAUUAUGAAGUGUAGCUUAAUCUGACACGCCAUUUUUGUUCAUCUUUAUCAAGAGUGUCACUAAUUAUGGCCCUCGUUUCUCGUCAAAUAGCUCCAGUGUGUAAGGAGGAGCACGCAGGAUACAUUACAUUUUAGAACAUUUACUGAAACGUGUGUUGCAUGCUAAAUAGAAGCAUCACCGCACACAAGCUAAUGUGCAGAAUGCCCAAACAUGUUUCCCAGACCUCUCUAAGCUCCACACAAGGUCGUUGAGACUGGCUGAGGACUCGCACUUCAUUUCUCUCACUCAAACUUCUUCUAUUUGGUUGUGUGAUGAACGGCGCUGCAGAUGGUGCAGUAAGCUUUUAAUCUCAGAGCUGAACAGGGAAAAUUAGCCUUUGUGGCAGAUAAUAGACAGAAGUCUGGAAAAACACAGCUGAAAAACAAGACAAUGAAUCAAUUUUAUCCAACCAUUUGUUUGACUUUCAUAUGGGCAUAUCUGUCUAAACCCUCCAGCAUUAUUGCAAAAAAUAUAUAUAUAUAUAAGCAGAACUCAUUUUAGUUAUUCCCGAUGACAGAUCAGUGCAGUCACUGCAAUUACAGGUCAUAAAUAAAACAAAGCCUUCACUCCAGGUUCUGCUUUAUAUGAGAACCUAAUACCUCUUUUUUCACCAGCUUUGAAAACAGACUUAUUUUUCAAACGAAAAAUACUGUUGCCAAUACUUGAUGAACCAGAAAACUUGCACCUGUGAAGAUAGAGGUCAGUGCAAAUAGAAACGUAUUAUUAUUUCCGGCUAGCAAAUCACAUGCCUGUUCAAAAUACAACAAAUGAACUUCAAAGAUUUCACUUUGCUCAUUUCCCAAGUGACACUAUUAGAUCCAAAGGUCACUGCAUAACUUAUGAUUGGAAUCAAGUUACACAAAUGACUAAGCUUAAGGCACAAUAAACGUCCCAAAUUCUUUGCACAAGUUCAGCCAGAGAUGGCCCCUCAGUGCAUACCUUGUUAAUUUGAUUGUAAGGAAACAACCUUUUUUUCCUGCAUUUCUGAAAUCCAAAUUAACAGCGAUGUCUAGACUCUUUUAUUGUUACCAAAUCCCACAGUGCCAUUAAAAAAAAUAAGCACCAUGAAAUUGACACAUGUUCAUAUGUACAUUUUAUAAUGUAUCCAACUAAAACUAAUACAGCAUCAAACCUAAAAAGGGGAGGAAAAAUGACCAUGAGGGAUCUUGUUAUUUUUUUUUUUUUUCUGUUUUUUUCUUCUUUUUUUUUUCUUUUCAGGAGUUGAGAACAAAGCCAUUUCUGAUCAUCGGUAAAAAGGAAAUGCACAUAGCUGACUGUCCAAGGACUUGGCCAAAGAGCAAGGAAACCAAUGAAGUUGGGGGAGGAAAGAAAUAGUCCAAAGUUCUUCAUGAAACAUCUCUUUGCUUGUCACAUACCACCAUAUUUGGGUAUUUAUUUAUUAACUUAUUUGAUUACUUGUACAAAUCAGGUCAGCCAUAGUGGAUCAUCCUCACCUGUGAUGCUGUUCUGAGUCUCCACAACUGUAAUAUUUUCUUUUUCUUUUUUGGUUACCUUUUCAGUGGGUGGAGAAAAACAUGACAGUUCUGUGUGUGAGUGAGUGUCAGUAUCUCUGUGCUUGUGAAAGCUUCAGUGUGAAUCAUAACGAACACUCAUUAUUCAUGUACAACGUACUAUGAGUGUGUUUGCGUGUGGCUGUUCUCUGUGGACACCAUGCUAAAAGUUCUUCAUUGUUUGUGUGAUUUGUCAAGUGCAGUCAGUCCUACUCUUUGGCCUCCAGAAAGAGAGUCUCUUGAGGGAAGAGUUUGGCUUCCAACAACGUCCAUGCCGGAUCUAACUGAGUUAUCUGGGUGAGAAAGAAAGAAAACAUAUAUAAUCUAAUGUAUUUUUAAAAAACAACAACAACAAAAAAAACCAAUAAAGACAGUUUUUUAACAGCAUUGUAAAUGGUCAACUAUGUACAAAUAAAGUGAAUAUCCAUUAA